This is a non-coding RNA of Selaginella moellendorffii, 80 nucleotides long. NCBI's taxonomy places the organism in Eukaryota, Viridiplantae, Streptophyta, Lycopodiopsida, Selaginellales, Selaginellaceae. The record is from Rfam.
AGGAGCCGUAUGAGGUGGACAUCCCACGUACGGUUCUGGAACGGAGUUUUGUCCCCACUCAUUUAAGGAACAACCGUAAC